GUUGACCUCGGAUCAGGUAGGGAUACCCCCUGAACUUAAGCAUAUCAAUAAGCGG
Molecule: ribosomal RNA, 55 nt
Filed under: Cladosporium cladosporioides
Lineage: Eukaryota; Fungi; Ascomycota; Dothideomycetes; Cladosporiales; Cladosporiaceae
Description: partial 28S ribosomal RNA
Source: RNAcentral